CGCAUAUUGCGCCCUUUGGUAUUCCUUAGGGCACACCUGUUCGAGCGUCAUUACACCAAUCAAGCCUCGCUUGGUAUUGGGCGAUGCGGCGGCCUUCGCGCCCCCGCACGCCUCAAAUUCGACCGGCCGAGCCGUCUCGUCUCUCAGCGUUGUGGAAACUAUUCGCUCUGGGAUUCGGUGGCCCGCACGCCGUCUAAACCUAUCAAUUUACCAAGGUUGACCUCGGAUCAGGUGGGGAUACCCGCUGAACUUAA
RNAcentral lists this unclassified non-coding RNA (254 nucleotides) under Scorias leucadendri. RNAcentral describes it as "partial contains 5.8S ribosomal RNA, internal transcribed spacer 2, and large subunit ribosomal RNA". The record is from RNAcentral. Lineage: Eukaryota; Fungi; Ascomycota; Dothideomycetes; Capnodiales; Readerielliopsidaceae.